UGUCGUCAGAGCACCAGGGAGGGACCUGGGCAGAUAGAGAAGCCGGAAACAGCAGGCCGGGGCAGCCAGGGUUUACAGUGAAGAGGAAGGCCGGGAAACGAGUGCGUGCGUGCGUGCCUGCCUCUCUGUGUGUGUGUAUGUGUGUGUGUGUGUGCGUGCGCGUGUGCGUGUGUGUAUGUGUGUGUACACAUUCAGUUUUUAGGGCCAGCCUAGAACCCGCUGGACAGACCUACAGACCCAUGGGGCUUGGUAGUGCCCUCUGAGAGAGGGAGAAGAUAGCAGCGGGGCUGCCGAGGCACCCUGCAUAUCCCAGAUCAUGUCUCUGUGGAGUCUAAUUUCCAAGAUGUCCCCAGAAAAACUGCAACGGCUCUAUGUUGACUUUCCGCAACACCUGCGGCAUCUCCUGGCUGACUGGCUGGAGAGCCAGCCCUGGGAGUUCCUGGUCGGUUCAGAUGCUUUCUGUUACAACAUGGCUAGCGUCCUACUUUCUGCCACUGUCCAGCGUCUUCAGGCCUCUGCAGGAGAGCAAGGGAAAGGAAGCAACAUCUUGCAGCACAUCAGCACCUUGGAGAGCAUCUAUCAGAGGGAUCCCCUGAAGCUGGUGGCCACCAUCAGACAAAUACUUCAAGGGGAGAAAAAAGCUGUUAUAGAAGAGUUCCGCCACCUGCCAGGGUCCUUCCAUCGGAAGCAGGAAGAACUGAAGUUUACUACAGCCCUUGGAAGACUUCAGCACGGAGUAAGGGAGACCCGACUUCUCCGAGAAUCUCUGCAGCAAGGGACCAAGACUAGACAAGUGUCUCUGCAGAACUUGAUAGACCCUCCUGCCAAUGGCGCUGUUCCAAGUGAGGAUCUGGCCACGAUGCUGCAGGGGACUGUGGGGGACCUGGAGGCCACCCAGGCCCUGGUGCUGAAAAGGAUUCAGAUUUGGAAGCGGCAGCAGCAGCUGGCAGGGAAUGGCACACCCUUUGAGGAGAGCCUAGCAGGGCUGCAGGAGAGGUGUGAAAGCCUGGUGGAAAUUUAUUCCCAGCUGCAGCAGGAGAUUGGGGCAGCCAGUGGGGAGCUUGAGCCCAAGACUCGGGCAUCACUGAUAAGCCGUCUGGAUGAAGUCCUUCGAACCCUUGUGACCAGCUCUUUCCUGGUAGAGAAACAGCCCCCCCAGGUUCUGAAGACACAGACUAAGUUCCAGGCUGGGGUUCGAUUCCUGCUGGGUCUGCAGUUCCUAGGGACCUCUGCCAAACCUCCACUGGUCAGAGCUGAUAUGGUGACAGAGAAACAGGCCAGAGAAUUAAGCCUGCCCCAGGGGUCUGGGGCUGGAGUGGAGAGCACAGGAGAGAUCGUGAACAAUACAGUGCCUCUGGAGAACAGUGUUCCUGGGAACUGCUGCUCCGCCCUGUUCAAGAACCUGCUCCUAAAGAAAAUCAAGCGCUGUGAGCGGAAGGGCACAGAGUCUGUCACGGAAGAGAAGUGUGCUGUGCUCUUCUCUACGAGCUUCACGCUGGGCCCCAACAAACUCCUCAUCCAGCUUCAGGCCCUGUCUCUGCCCUUGGUGGUCAUUGUCCAUGGCAACCAAGACAACAAUGCCAAAGCUACCAUCCUGUGGGACAAUGCCUUCUCUGAGAUGGACCGAGUGCCCUUUGUGGUAGCUGAGAGAGUGCCCUGGGAGAAAAUGUGUGAAACUCUGAACCUUAAGUUUAUGGCUGAGGUGGGGACCAGCCGGGGACUGCUACCAGAACACUUUCUGUUCCUGGCCCAGAAGAUUUUCAAUGACAACAGUCUCAGCAUGGAGGCCUUUCAGCACCGCUGUGUGUCCUGGUCACAGUUCAACAAGGAGAUCCUGUUGGGCCGUGGCUUCACUUUUUGGCAGUGGUUUGAUGGUGUCCUGGACCUCACUAAACGCUGUCUCCGGAGCUACUGGUCAGAUCGGCUGAUCAUUGGCUUUAUUAGUAAGCAAUAUGUCACUAGCCUUCUCCUCAACGAGCCAGAUGGAACCUUCCUCCUCCGCUUUAGCGACUCUGAGAUUGGGGGCAUCACCAUUGCCCAUGUCAUCCGGGGUCAGGAUGGCUCGUCACAGAUAGAGAACAUCCAGCCAUUUUCUGCCAAAGACCUGUCCAUUCGCUCACUGGGGGACCGAAUCCGGGAUCUUGCUCAGUUAAAAAACCUCUACCCCAAGAAACCCAAGGAUGAAGCUUUCCGGAGCCACUAUAAGCCUGAACAGAUGGGGAAGGACGGGAGGGGUUAUGUCUCUACUACUAUCAAGAUGACUGUGGAAAGGGACCAGCCCCUUCCUACUCCAGAGCCUCAGAUGCCUGCCAUGGUGCCCUCUUAUGAUCUUGGAAUGGCCACCGAUGGUUCCAUGCAGCUCAACUCCGAUAUGGUGUAUCCUCCACAGUCUCAUUCCAUCCACUCAUUUCAGAGCCUCCCUCUAGAGGAGCCCAUGAAUGUACUGCCAUCCUUUCAGGAGCCUCACCUGCAAAUGCCCCCCAACAUGAGCCAGAUAAGCAUGCCCUUUGACCAGCCUCACCCCCAGGGCCUGCUGCAGUGCCAGUCCCAAGAGCAUGCUGUUUCCAGCCCUGAACCCUUGCUUUGCUCAGAUGUGACCAUGGCAGAGGACAGCUGCCUAACUCAGCCUGUGGGAGGUUUCCCCCAAGGCACCUGGCUCAGCGACGACAUGUACCCUCCCCUGAUGCCUCCCACUGAACAGGACCUUACCAAGCUUCUCCUGGAGGGCCAAGGGGAGGCAGGAGGGUCCUUAGGAAACCAGCCCCUCCUGCAACCAUCUCCUUAUGGGCAAUCUGGGAUCUCAAUGUCCCACCUGGACCUAAGGACCAACCCCAGUUGGUGAUCCCAGCUGGAGAAGCCUAGAGACAGAGCCUCUUCUGUCUCUAUGGACCUGCUCUGAACACCUGCUCAUGCAGGUGUCUCCAGUCUCCAGCUGUUUCUUGGUCAAGAGGAAAGAACUGGCUGGGAGAAUGUGUGGUGUAUGGAACUGCCAUGCUCUGUCCUUCCUACCACAUCAGCCUCCCCCCCCCAGCCCCCGCCUUUUCCAGCACUGGGCACAAACGGAUGAGUGGAAUAUUCAGGCUCUAAUGUGAUACAGGUCCCUGCACACCUGUAUCUUGCUCGCUCUCCCUCUCUCUUUCUCUCUCUCUCUCAACACACACACACACACACACACACACACACACACCCCAGAACUGUGUCGAGCAGGGCCUGCGACUCACAUGCAGAAACAUAGAGACACUGUGCCAAAGAUAAAGGGCAUAGACCUAGAGCACUGAAGCUGGGUUCAGGUGACUCUGGGAGAAAAAGGGAAAAGUGGGCAUAUGGUUACUGGUAUGAAUUUUACCCAGAUUAAAAAACAAAACAAAAAACUCCUCCAAAGCUCCAAAUUCUUACCAAAGAGGCCUUGUGACAUCUGAGACUGUGCAUUCUAAGAGCUAAGCUGGUGUGUAGCUGUGCCAAUGUUUACCUGAGACACGUUAACCUAUAGAUGUCACACAUCACCCUACGACCACACAGAACAUGUAUCUUCUGCUUUUGCCAGUGUGACCUUAUGUACCUGAAUGGCUGAGACGUAUACAACAGCCACCCAGUAUCAACUGGGGAGUAACUGUGUGGCUGUGACACACAUAGAGCUAUGGCCUUAGUGACCCCAUGCUUCCAGUGUUUCCUAGAGCCUGAGGGUUGAGUAGGGGUGCAGACCUCGCUGUGUAAAUUCCCUGGGCAUUGGGGGGUGGGGGGCCCAACUGCUGUCUCUUGUACUUUUCUGUCCACUGCCAGCUCUGCCCCGUCCCCUCACCCAGUCCUUUUUCCAUCACUGGGGGGAAGGGGGUCAUGGAUCCUAAGCCAUAAAAUAAAUUUUAUUCCAAAAUAACAAAAUAAAUAAUCUACUGUACACAAUCUGAAAAGAAAGACACGCUAAGUGUUCGACAGGUGCUGCAGUCCUGCCGGCUGAGGAGGCCCAGGAUCCAACCCAGGCCUCUAAGGGGCUGGUGGAGGGAAUUGUGGGGCAACCUCCCACACAGUGAGGGGGGAGGGAGAAAGAGAGAGGGGGAGGACUUCUGGGAGGGUGGCGGUGAGAACGGGCUGGCAAACUGCAGCACUUGUUAAAUUAAAGAAAUAAACUAGAAGCACGAAAAAUGGGGAUGGGGAGGGGAGACCCAGUUUUCCCAAGCCCCCAGUCUCAGAGCAAAUGGUUCCAUAGACCUUCCCAGGGAAGUUCUUUCUCUAUGUCCGAGCAGAGUAGUUCAGCUGCUCACACCACUGCUGGCCACCUGGAGAAUGGGUGUGUGUGUGUGUGUGUGUUUGUGUGUGUGUGU
Non-coding RNA from Arvicanthis niloticus (Nile rat), 4319 nucleotides. Lineage: Eukaryota; Metazoa; Chordata; Mammalia; Rodentia; Muridae. The record is from RefSeq and is a predicted model, not a curated record.